CACUCUCUCUGCAGCUGAGUAAUGGCAGUCUGUGAUGAAACAGAUGAAACGCCGACUUCUGAAGGGCUGUCAACUCUCUUUUUGUUACGAACCCAUGGGUAUUUCUUCAACACUUUUAAAGCUAGCUGGACUCAAGACAACAGUUUGAACCCCAGGAAACUGAAUCUAGGGCAGAGUUGGUUGGUGUGUUUCCAAGACAUUUAUAUGAACUUGUCUCUGAUUGGCUGGGCAACCAGAUGCAGAAUUCUGUUUUCUGAAGCAGAAUAUUCCACAGACCUGGGCUGCAGGCCGUUUCCUCUGCUGAGAUCCUUGCACAGGAGAAAUGGAGAAGAGUCCUUUGGCAGCCUCGCUGCUAAUCCUGUGGCUUCACAUUGGCGGAGUGGGCAGCGUAUCGAACGUGGAGCAGAAUCCUCCAUGGCUUCAUGUUCAGGAAGGAGAGAACACCAAUUUCACCUGCCGUUUUCCUUCCAGCAAUUUCUACUCUUUACACUGGUACAGAUGGGAACCUGCAAAACCCCCCAUGUUCCUAAUUUCAGUUACUUUAAAUGGGGAUGAAAAGAGGACAGGACGAGUAAGAACCACUCUUAAUACACAGGAGGGUUAUAGUUCCUUUUACAUCAGAGGAUGCCAGCCUGAAGAUGCAGCCACGUACUUCUGUGCCAUGACACAGUGCUUUUCAAACAGCUGCAGCCCAUACCAAAACCUGCAGCUGAUGCUGCUCUGGCACCAGCAUGUGUGGGGCACCGGAGUGGUACAGCUGGUGAAGCUUUGACUCUUGGUUUCAGCUCAGGUCCUGAUCUCAUGGUU
This is a non-coding RNA of Mustela lutreola (European mink), 807 nucleotides long. NCBI's taxonomy places the organism in Eukaryota, Metazoa, Chordata, Mammalia, Carnivora, Mustelidae. The record is from the annotation of a RefSeq genome assembly.